CGCCGUCUGGGCGGUGCCCUCGACGCCUGCGGCCUUCAGCGCCGCGCGAAUCGCGGCGGGGUUGGAGACGUCCUGGGUGACGA
This 83-nucleotide transfer RNA is filed under the name Limimaricola soesokkakensis. RNAcentral describes it as "tRNA-Sec". The record is from RNAcentral. Lineage: Bacteria; Pseudomonadati; Pseudomonadota; Alphaproteobacteria; Rhodobacterales; Paracoccaceae.